RNAcentral lists this ribosomal RNA (269 nucleotides) under uncultured bacterium. RNAcentral's name for it is "partial 16S ribosomal RNA". It matches the Rfam family "Bacterial small subunit ribosomal RNA", at positions 85 to 354 of the family's 1533-position model. The record is from RNAcentral.
UGGGACCCUAGUGGCGGACGGGUGAGUAACGCGUGGGUAACCUGCCCCAUACCGGGGGAUAACACUUAGAAAUAGGUGCUAAUACCGCAUAAGCGCACGGUACUGCAUGGUACAGUGUGAAAAACUCCGGUGGUAUGGGAUGGACCCGCGUCUGAUUAGCUUGUUGGCGGGGUAACGGCCCACCAAGGCGACGAUCAGUAGCCGGCCUGAGAGGGUGGACGGCCACAUUGGGACUGAGACACGGCCCAAACUCCUACGGGAGGCAGCAG